Molecule: ribosomal RNA, 495 nt
Filed under: uncultured bacterium
Lineage: Bacteria
Description: partial 16S ribosomal RNA
Rfam family: Bacterial small subunit ribosomal RNA
Source: RNAcentral
GACGAACGCUGGCGGCGUGCCUAAUACAUGCAAGUCGAACGCUGAAGGAGGAGCUUGCUUCUCUGGAUGAGUUGCGAACGGGUGAGUAACGCGUAGGUAACCUGCCUGGUAGCGGGGGAUAACUAUUGGAAACGAUAGCUAAUACCGCAUAAGAGUAGAUGUUGCAUGACAUUUGCUUAAAAGGUGCAAUUGCAUCACUACCAGAUGGACCUGCGUUGUAUUAGCUAGUUGGUGGGGUAACGGCUUACCAAGGCGACGAUACAUAGCCGACCUGAGAGGGUGAUCGGCCACACUGGGACUGAGACACGGCCCAGACGCCUACGGGAGGCAGCAGUAGGGAAUCUUCGGCAAUGGACGGAAGUCUGACCGAGCAACGCCGCGUGAGUGAAGAAGGUUUUCGGAUCGUAAAGCUCUGUUGUAAGAGAAGAACGAGUGUGAGAGUGGAAAGUUCACACUGUGACGGUAGCUUACCAGAAAGGGACGGCUAACUACGUG